Molecule: long non-coding RNA, 235 nt
Filed under: Daucus carota (carrot)
Lineage: Eukaryota; Viridiplantae; Streptophyta; Magnoliopsida; Apiales; Apiaceae
Description: long non-coding RNA (DCAR_LNC004887)
Source: RNAcentral
GGGGAACUGUACCGUAUAAAUCAUGUUGGUGGAGGCUUUGGUGAACCUGAGUGGUCUAAAGGAUCUUUUUGUCUCCUCCGCAUUCUCUUCUUUGAAGUCGAGCAUCUCUUCGUCAGGAUCAAUGUCAGCUUUGAACUUCGAGGCUGUCUUUAUGGUACGGUUAUAACAAUCCCUAGAGUCAUAUUGACAACCUUUGAUACAACCUACCCCCCUGGGAGUUGGGAACUUCAUAGAC